This is a non-coding RNA of Varroa destructor (honeybee mite), 3118 nucleotides long. The record is from RefSeq and is a predicted model, not a curated record. NCBI's taxonomy places the organism in Eukaryota, Metazoa, Arthropoda, Arachnida, Mesostigmata, Varroidae.
AAAAGAAGACAUAGACGACUGAGUUUAAGUUAAAGAAAUACUAUGUGCUCAUGGAUCACGUAGAACAACGCGCAGGAGUAAUUAGUGAGCCAUUAAAAAAAUUAUAAAUCACAUAUUGUGCUUUUAUUGUGUCCAGAAACUUAAACUGCAUGUGCGUAUUAAAAGGCAAACAUUUCGAGUGUUGCUAAGAGCCCCCAAAGGUGCAACGGCCUAACGACAGGAGAACCAAUUAACGCAGCCCAAAAGUCUCCGACCGGUUUGAAAAAACUUUGGAAAGUUCGAGAGCCUAUAUCUCACGUCUGUUGAGGUGGCUAACGAUACGCAAAUUGUUGCAUAAAGAGCGGCUUUAUCUAUACAAUACAUCUGUAACAGACGCACUCCAACACCACAUAACUCCUAUUAUACUAUGUUAGAUCGUGACAAUAUUAGUAAGUAUCUUCAUUCAGAUGUGUUUAUUAACUAAUAUCAGAAUAAGACAGUUUACAUUUCAUGUUAUAAACGUUUGAAUUGAUGGCGAACAACUCAAUAGUCUGCUCCAUGCACUUAAGCAAAUAUUUGCGCACUUCUUCAUCAUCAUGCCUAACACGCUUGCUUCUAGUCGUAUAUGGGCAAUAUUCCUCGUGCAGGCACCUGCUCUUUAACUAUAUUCCAUAUACUGGCAUGAGGCCCGGUGAUUGCGACGGCCACUCCACUAGAUUUCGUCGACUUAUUCAUCUGUAUAGCAACUCCCCGUCCACGAAUCCACACACGAUUAGUGUGUAGUGUGGCGACGCUCCGUCUUGUCGAAAAAAGUAUCGUAUUGCUAUUGCAGCCGUGACAGAAUGAUGUCCCGCAGUCUACGCAGGCAUAAGUCUUUCGUAAAGGCUAAAUAAAAAACAAACAGAUUUGAUCAGUGCUUUAUACGAAACAGCCGGCCAAGCCGAUACCCAGCUGGUUCAUUCAUUGUUCACGCGGAAAUUUCUGUUGCAUAAUGGACACAAUUUUGCCUGUUUAAAGCACCUAAAAGUUCAAAAUGAGGUUCAUCAAUCAACGUGUCAAGUAUACUGGCUUUUAUCUACAGCGCCAUUACCAAGUUUUGAAGACAAAUUCGGAAUAACCGUGAUACAAGUUCCACAUUAUGCGACGCAUGGGUGUUCCCAAAAAUAUUUGGCUUGAGUAAAGCUCUGCGUGUGGACGUUUCGGGGUUUUCAACAAUCCUUCUAACUAAAAUUUUAUUCGCCGUUGUCGUGUGUACCACGACAUCCACUUGCCAUUCUCCGUAAAAAAGAAUGGCAAAUAAAUCUGGUAGCUUCGCUCAUUGCAUCGACUGUUUGCCUUGACUGCGGCGUGGUUCCAAAUAUUUGAAUCUACUCCUUUCAUGCUCGGCUUUUGUUUGACGAUCUACUUCCUUUCAUUAUAGGCCAAGUCCAUCUAAAAAUAAUUGACAUACACAACUUAGACAACGUAGUACAACAGGGAUAGUCAAAUUGCACAAUGAGUUAUCCUUUAAUUCAACAAACGUACAUUACAACUAAUUUAAACAAUUUUGCGAGAGGACCCAUCAUGUGGGAUUUUAAGUGAGAAGUGUCAGGAUUGCAACAAGUGUUAGCUUUAAAUGUAGAAUUAGAAAAAGAAGCACGAGCGACUGUUGACUAUAGGCUGGGGCGUCCAAGUCCCUUUUAUGGUUUUUUCUGAGUUUGUGAAGACAGACUUUUCUUGGUUUUUAUACCCAAUAGGAUACGUACAAAAGACAACAGAAAUAGAUUCCAAGUAAUAGUUCGCCUGGAACGAUUCUGGAGAUUUCUGAGAUUUAAAAUAAUACAUAUAAUAGUAUAUAGAUACGAAUGUGUUAACUGUUCUUCUUCCGAAGAGCUAGCAACUUGGUUUUUCGAACUCCGUUUAGGUAAAAGAUUGUGCAGUCCAAUGCUCACAUACGACGACAAUAUGUUUCCAAAGAUAGUUUUGCUAAGCCAAAAAAAUACAUGUUUGUGCUUUCUUCGUAGACCUGUCAGCGUCGAAUCUGAAGUAAACGAAAACUCGGCUAUAAAGCUGGACUACAUGUAAAGUUUCAGAAAGUAAAUUCAGAGAGUACAAGAAAGAAUAAGUCAAAUAAGAUAUUGAAAUGCUGCAUUUCCAUUGUAAUAUUACAUCCUGUAUUAGUGCAUUAGGAUGGUCCUGUUAUAGAUGAGUUAUACAGUGUACGUCCGCCCUUUACUGUAAUAAUUCGCUUAUCUCUCGCAAACAAAAACUCUCUAACUGUCCGGAAAUUUUAUACUUUGCAUCCUCCUUCGUUGCAUUUAGAGCGCUACGCAAGCCAUUGCAUGACAGGUAUAUACAUAUAUAUAUUAUGGCUUUCCACUAAUCUUUGGUAACAUUUUACCUACACACUGUUUCCAAUUUCUAUUUACAUAUCUGCGUAUUGGGAGUCCUUACUGCACAGCUUAGUAUUACUUGUAAUUGGUGUACCUAUCGUAUUUUGCAUAACUGUUGGUCUUUAUAGAUAAGUGUUUUAAUUUAAAUUGAAAAUUUAAUAUGGAUUUGGUUUACAUGUUGUAAAUAAAAUUUCUGUUUUUUAGCUGUUGGAUGCCCAAUCGACGGUUUCAUGACUGAUAUAUGAUGGUCACCACGGCAAAGUCAGUGGUCACAUCUCGAAGACUAAUUGCUUGUGUUUGCCUAAUACUGCUCAUAGUGAGAACCUCUAAUGCCAACGACUCCAUCAAUUCAUCUAGUACGGACCUUCCGCGAGCUAGAGCAGCCAGCUCUCCGGCGCCGCAUAUCAAUAGCGUCGACCGCAGUAGCACGAUAGCAUUUUCAACUAACAGUACUAUAAGCAGUGGAAGUUCGAGAAUUAAUGUGCCAUCCGAGAGGACCGUGGAUGUCUCCAAAGCUUUACCAGCUGCGAAGACGAGCCAUAUACUGAUACCUAAUGUCCCACACGGACCCGUGGCUCCGAGUUUUGAAACAUCUGAUGCGUUUUCAACGGUCGUUUAUGUUGUUGUUGGUUUAACGGUUGUCAUUCUGAUCUACAUGGUUGUGAAAAAUUUUCGACGCCGGUAUGCGACGGUGCGCGCUGAGCGAUACGGAGUUCGUCGACGAUGGAAGGACCAAGAGCUUCAGCCACUGGGAAAAGACGACGACG